This 373-nucleotide ribosomal RNA is filed under the name uncultured Legionella sp. Its description in RNAcentral is "bacterial SSU rRNA". It matches the Rfam family "Bacterial small subunit ribosomal RNA", at positions 285 to 650 of the family's 1533-position model. The record is from RNAcentral. Lineage: Bacteria; Pseudomonadati; Pseudomonadota; Gammaproteobacteria; Legionellales; Legionellaceae.
AGCUGGUCUGAGAGGAUGGCCAGCCACACUGGAACUGAGACACGGUCCAGACUCCUACGGGAGGCAGCAGUGGGGAAUAUUGGACAAUGGGGGAAACCCUGAUCCAGCAAUGCCGCGUGUGUGAAGAAGGCCUGAGGGUUGUAAAGCACUUUCAGUGGGGAGGAGGGUUGAUAGGUUAAGAGCUAAUUAACUGGACGUUACCCACAGAAGAAGCACCGGCUAACUCCGUGCCAGCAGCCGCGGUAAUACGGAGGGUGCGAGCGUUAAUCGGAAUUACUGGGCGUAAAGGGUGCGUAGGUGGUUUAUUAAGUURUCUGUGAAAUCCCUGGGCUUAACCUGGGCAGGUCAGAUAAGACUGGUAGACUCGAGUAUG